AGCAAUACAGCAGUGGCAGACGGGUGAGUAACACGUGGGAACCUUCCUAGGGGUACGGAACAGCUCAGGGAAACUUGAGCUAAUACCGUAUACGUCCGUGAGGAGAAAGAUUUAUCGCCCUUAGACGGGCCCGCGUCGGAUUAGGUAGCUGGUGGGGUAACGGCCUACCAAGCCUACGAUCCGUAGCUGAUCUGAGAGGAUGAUCAGCCACACUGGGACUGAGACACGGCCCAGACUCCUACGGGAGGCAGCAGUGGGGAAUCUUGGACAAUGGACGCAAGCCUGAUCCAGCCAUGCCGAGUGAGUGAAGAAGGCCUUAGGG
Molecule: ribosomal RNA, 322 nt
Filed under: uncultured bacterium
Lineage: Bacteria
Description: bacterial SSU rRNA
Rfam family: Bacterial small subunit ribosomal RNA
Source: RNAcentral